This 82-nucleotide transfer RNA is filed under the name Perkinsus marinus ATCC 50983. It matches the Rfam family "tRNA". Rfam says of the family: Transfer RNA (tRNA) molecules are approximately 80 nucleotides in length. Lineage: Eukaryota; Perkinsozoa; Perkinsida; Perkinsidae. The record is from Rfam by way of RNAcentral.
GUCAGUUUGGCCGAGUGGUCUAAGGCGCCAGACUCAAGUUCUGUUGGAGAAAUCCGCGUGGGUUCGAACCCCACAGCUGACA